Molecule: unclassified non-coding RNA, 362 nt
Filed under: uncultured fungus
Lineage: Eukaryota; Fungi
Description: partial contains 5.8S ribosomal RNA and internal transcribed spacer 2
Rfam family: 5.8S ribosomal RNA (bases 1-133)
Source: RNAcentral
UGGCUCUCGCAUCGAUGAAGAACGCAGCGAAAUGCGAUAAGUAAUGUGAAUUGCAGAAUUCAGUGAAUCAUCGAAUCUUUGAACGCACCUUGCGCUCCUUGGUAUUCCGAGGAGCAUGCCCGUUUGAGUGUCUUGAAACCAUCGCCUCCCGGAUUCGCGUCCGGCGCGUGCGGACUUGGGGGUUGCUGCUGCAAGGCGGCUCCCCUUAAAUGCAUCGGUCGUGGCCCGCAGGCCCGCGUCUAUGGCGUUGUAUCACCCUCGCCUUUGCUGACCGGACCCAGUGCCCGACCCCGACCUGCCACUGGAGCGGCGGUCAAUCACUUAUGAGUUCUGACCUCAAAUCGGGUAGGACUACCCGCUGA